Hyla sarda is the source of this 313-nucleotide long non-coding RNA. RefSeq lists it as uncharacterized. The record is from RefSeq and is a predicted model, not a curated record. NCBI's taxonomy places the organism in Eukaryota, Metazoa, Chordata, Amphibia, Anura, Hylidae. The transcript has 3 exons.
AACGAUGAUCCAGCACCUAGAAUUGACAGCUUUAUUGAAGGGCCCUUGGACACCAUAAAACCAACCAUAUCAUCAGACACGUUUCAAACUCAUGCGCUCUUCCUCGGUGACGUUAAUCUAUCCACACGUGAGGAAUUAUAUACCGGUGGAGAAGAGGAUGAGAAUGCGCUGACAUAGUGAGACGUCUGGGCGUCACAUUCUACAGAGAGAAGAUUUAGCUGGACCAGGCGGUGGGUGGUCCUAUUUGGGGGACAAGUUGACUGGAAAAUCCCUUCUGUGCUGCCUUCGGACUUUGAGGAAAGCAAAAUUCCGG